GGAGGGCACAGCUCAGGGGCAGAGUGCGUGCUUAGCAAGCAUGAGGUCCUGGGUUCAAUCCCCAGACCCUCCA
Camelus ferus (Wild Bactrian camel) is the source of this 73-nucleotide non-coding RNA. The record is from Rfam. Lineage: Eukaryota; Metazoa; Chordata; Mammalia; Artiodactyla; Camelidae.